RNAcentral lists this non-coding RNA (175 nucleotides) under uncultured Eisenbergiella sp. RNAcentral's name for it is "Lysine riboswitch". It matches the Rfam family "Lysine riboswitch aptamer". From Rfam's summary of the family: Riboswitches are metabolite binding domains within certain messenger RNAs that serve as precision sensors for their corresponding targets. The record is from RNAcentral. Lineage: Bacteria; Bacillati; Bacillota; Clostridia; Lachnospirales; Lachnospiraceae.
UGGUAGAGGUGCGGUUUUCAAUAGUAGCAUCACAGCAAGGCGGGCGGCCGCUGUAUGUGAAAGGGGAAACUGCCGAAGGGAUUUUCCGCUGCCCGGCGGGCUUCCCUGGGACUGCGCAGAAUAUGCGCUGUACUGUCACAUGUGACAAAUUGUCACGCAGGUGGAGCGCUAUCAU